This 650-nucleotide ribosomal RNA is filed under the name uncultured bacterium. RNAcentral's name for it is "bacterial SSU rRNA". It matches the Rfam family "Bacterial small subunit ribosomal RNA", at positions 28 to 692 of the family's 1533-position model. The record is from RNAcentral.
GAUAACGCUGGCGGCGUGCCUAACACAUGCAAGUCGAACGCCCUUUGUCUCGCAAGAGAGGGAGGGAGUGGCGGACGGGUGAGUAACACAUGGGUGACCUACCCCGCAGUGAGGAAUACCGGCGAGAAAUCGCCGACAAGACCGCAUAGGCUCUCUUUGGUCGAGCCAAGAGAGCAAAGUCUCACACGAGACGCUGAGGGAUGGGCCUGUGGCCGAUUAGCUAGUUGGGGGGGUAAAAGCCUCCCAAGGCCACGAUCGGUAGCUGGUCUGAGAGGACGAACAGCCACACUGGGAUUGAGAACGGCCCAGACUCCUACGGGGGGCAGCAGUGAGGAAUUUUCCGCAAUGGGCGCAAGCCUGACGGAGCAACGCCGCGUGCAGGAAGACGCUUUUCGGAGUGUAAACUGCUUUUCUGUGGGACGAGGAUGGACGGUACCACAGGAAGAAGCCCCGGCUAACUACGUGCCAGCAGCCGCGGUAAUACGUAGGGGGCGAGCGUUGUCCGGAGUUACUGGGCGUAAAGGGCAUGCAGGCGGUCGGACGCGUUUCGGGUGACAGCGGGUGGCUUAACUACCCGAGCGGUCGAAAGACGGUUCGACUUGAGGACGCGAGAGGGACACGGAAUUCCGGGUGGAGUGGUGAAAUGCGUA